GCACCGGCACCGGGCGUCCCGGGCGUCCCGGGAACCGGGCAUCCCGGCACCGGCACCGGCACUGGGCGUCCCGGGCACCGGGCAUCCCGGCACUGGCACCGGCACCGGCACCGGGCGUCCCGGGCGUCCCGGGCACCGGGCAUCCCGGCACUGGCACCGGCACCGGGCGUCCCGGGCGUCCCGGGAACCGGGCAUCCCGGCACCGGCACCGGCACUGGGCGUCCCGGGCACCGGGCGUCCCGGCACCGGGCGUCCCGGGCACCGGGCAUCCAGCACCGGCACCGAGCGUCCCGAGUGUCCCAGGCACAGGGCAUCCCGGCACUGGCACCGGCACCGGGCGUCCCCGGCUCCGGCACCGGGCCUCUGGCACCGGGCAUCCCGGCACCGGGCGCCUCAGGCAUUCUGGGUGUCCCGGGAACCGGGCAUCCCGGCACCGGACAUCCCGGGCUUCAGCACCAGCACGGGGCAUCCCGGGCACUGGUCGUCCCGGGCAAUGGCACCGAGCAUCCCGGGCUCUGACACCGGGCAUCUGGCACCGGGCAUCCCAGGCACCAGCACCGGACAUCCCGGGCACUGGCACCGGUACUGGAUAUCCUAGGCACCAGCACCGGCACCGGGCAUCAUGGACACCGAGGAUCCCGGGCACUGGCACCAGCACCGGGCAUCCCAGGCACCGGCACUGGGGCUACCCAGGCACCAGCACCAGGGGUCCCGGGCACCGGUGCUGGCACUGGGGCUCCUGGGCUCUGGCUCCGGUGCUCCCUGGGCACCAGCAGCAGGGCUCCCAGGCACCAGCACGGGGGCUCCCCGGGUGCUGGCACUGGCUCCACCACCGGGGCUCCCCAGGCGUUGGCUCUGGCACCGGGGGCUCUCUGGGCACUGGCACCGGCACCAGGGCCUCCCUGGGCACUGGGGGCUCCUCAGACRCCAGCUUUGGGCACCAGCAUCAGGGUCUGCCAGGCACCAGCACUGGGGGUUCUUCAGGCAGCCACACUGGGGGGGUCCCCAGGCUCCGGCACCGGGGGCUCCUUGGGCAACAGCUCCAGGCACUGGCACCAGGGGCUCCCCUGGCAUCGGCACUGGCACUGGGGGCUCCCAAGCACCGGCAGUGGGUACUGGCACCGAGGCCUUCCCUGACAUCAGCUCUGGGGGCUUCUUGGGCACCAGCUCUGGGCACCGGCACCAGGGACUCCCAGGAUCUGGCCCUGGAGGAUCCCCAGGCACCAGCACCAGGGGCCUUUCCAGACACCAGCACCAGGUGCUCUCCUGGACACUGACACCAGCACUGGCACCAGGGGCUCCCCAGCCACCAGGACUGGGCACUGGCCCCAGGGCCUCCACCAGACACUGGCACCAGCACUGGGAGAUUCUUGAGCACCAGUACCAGGCACUGGCCUGGGAGAUCCCUGAGCACCAGCACCAGAGGCUCCCCAGACACCAGGCACUGGCACCAGGGGCUCCCCCACACUCUGGGCACUGGCACUGGGGGCUCCCCUGGACACCAGAAACCAGCACCAGCCCUGGGAGCUCUCCUGGACACCACACACUGGCACCAGCACUGGGAGCUCCUCCUGGACGUUUGCACCGGGCGCUUCCCCGGACACUGGCACCUGGGCCAGGCACCGGGCACCAGAAACCUGUACCAGCUGCUCCCACGGACACCAGCACCCAGGCAUCAGUCUUAUCAGAGGUGGCAAGACAUCCCRUUACUCCCCACUCGGGACACAGUGAGUGUGAAUAG
This 1741-nucleotide long non-coding RNA is filed under the name Apteryx haastii (Great spotted kiwi). Its description in RNAcentral is "lncRNA (ENSAHAG00000007774.1)". Lineage: Eukaryota; Metazoa; Chordata; Aves; Apterygiformes; Apterygidae. The record is from RNAcentral.